UCCAUUUUUCUCCCCAUGUAUACAAAGCAUAACUGUCAUGAUAUGUGUCAUUUUAAGCCGAUUUUCCAUCCUGUGAUGCGAUGAAUUGGAGCGAAUAAGCUGGAAGCAGCAGAUGGCUAACAGCCCAGUGCGGUUGCUAAGGUUGCCUGAAUGCUACUCGCAGAGUUUUCUGGUUAGCAUAGAACAAGACAAGAGAGCUACACACAGAAUGAGCUAUCAAUCGUGUAAAAAGCGUAAUCCGUAGUCUUAAAAAAAUGAUUCGUCUGUGUUUGGAUGGCAGGCAUAUUGGCAAGUUGUCAUGACAACAGGGAUGUUCUGCUGAUGAAGACUUGCUGUCGACUGUCCAAUCGGAUGACGGCAGCUUAAACUGCAGCGUGAGCGCAAGUGUUGAGGGGGAUACACGUUUUCCAGAUACACACAAUGCCAAGGACGACGCCCUUGUCCAAGACCACCUACGGAUCAUAAUCGGCUACAGGAGAGGGAUGGCUAACGGACUGACACGAUCUACUUUGGAAUGAGAACAAGGCGGAGGAAGAAACGAGACAGGGCCAGCAGAUUAUGGAGAAUUCCAGAGGGUCUUCAAAAUCCAGAAAGAAAGCAUGGAGGCUUGGGAAGGAGCAGGAUGGUAUGACCUUCCUGGAACCCUUUUCACUCAGAGGAACUGUUUCUCUGAAGAUAUACAGUAGUCAAAGUCAUCAAGGAAGUACCAUGGGCCAUCCACGGCUUGCAGAACCUCCACUGCUUGCAUUAGUGGAGCCCACAGACCAUUCUCUGAGGGGCAGAAGAUCAGUAGUACAGAGCUGCCGGACUUCAUUGAUGGUCGAUCCAGGAUAAAGGACGAGGAGGCCCAAAAGUAAAAAAAGGUGUGUGAGAAUUCUGUUUAACAUUUACGGAAGGAGUCUCCAGAGUCAGUGCUUUGUGCCAGUCGGGUUUUCCACCACAGUAAAGUCUUCAGGAAAGAGGAGUUUAUGCUUGGGGAUUUCUUGGUGACAUGGCAAGUUGCAAGUUUUCCUUCAAGAGGGUACGUCUAGUGAGGGAAAAACAAUUUGUAGCUGUUAUAAGUGACGAAAUGGGAUUCCAUAAGUGCUUACAGUAUGUAAGCCUUGAAUUCCAUACAUCUAGCAUAUAUACUGUAUAUCCCUGUGUUUUCUCACUACAGAUGAACUCUGUUGUUCUGAAAUGCUAUGCCCCUCCUCAGCCCCUGCGUUCUUGCCAGAGCAGCUUUAACCUUCACGCUGUUCAUCUAGGCAGUGGCGCUUUGUCUAAAUCUCCCACAUCAAAGGCAACAUGCAAAUGCUGCAGACAGUUGGAGCAUUUGAUGUUGUCUCUUUUUUUCCCGCCAGGGUAGGAGCUUAUGCUUACUGUGAUUACCGUGUCAGGAUGCAACAGUGUUUGCGAAAGGCUGAGUAGCUGUGAUGCCGUUCGAUUAACUAGCUAACUUCCAAAUGCUCAAGAACUAGAAUGCAUAGUUGGGUUUGAGUGUUCAUGUGAGGGAAUCUUGGCGAAAGAGCAGUUUAUUUUACCCAUAAUGCACUGUGAAUGCAGGUUUUAAAGCAGUAGCAGAGCAUAAAAAAAAGCCCAAUUACUUGAAUAGGAAAAUAGUUUGGCGUCAUUCUGAGCAACGAUGCAAAGCUUGAAAUUUCGUGUUGCCCAGUAGAAAACAGCAGGGUAGACUGUGGUGUGUCUCUUCUUUUUUAAAAAACAACAACAAAAAAAGACAAUGCACACUUUUCAUAGCUAGCUAGCUAGAUUACACAUUCAAAUGAUCAUUUAGCAUCCAUCUGUCUCCUAUAAACAUUUUCAAAUGAUUAUUUAUUUGCUAAGAAAAAUUCUAAGAUGAACAGUCCUCUCGAAACAAAGCAUUUCAGACGCAUCCAAAAAGAAAGCUUGUUUUUUUUUUUGUUUUUUUUUUCCCUCACAACUGUUUGAGAUGACAAUCAUAUUAAAUAUGACGGGGUUUUCUUAGUGUUCUCUCACUCUGUCUGUCGCUAGCCUUCUCUGUAUGUAAGUACAGCUGGACUUUACAAUUGCCCUGAGUGGAUUUAAUAUUGACUGAAAAAGAAUUUCCUGUUGCCAUCUUGAUGUCGUUUUCAUUUAAUACGAACAUCAGAUCUGAGUUUUAGCAAAAUGCUAGUAAUGCACAUUCACUCUAAGGCCAGGUCUGAGUUAACCCGUGUAUUUUUUUUACCCUACAGGAUAGAUUGCAUGUGUAUGCUGUUAUGUGAAUGAUUACUGUACAUGCAUACAUGGUAAAGUGUGAUAAAUAAUUAAUAAAACGCUGUUAUAGGUGGUGUAAUGCGUUAUCACCCAAUAACAGUUGGAUAACUAGAAGUAGCAAUUUAUUUAUUAAAGAAAAAUUUGUCAUAGUUUUUAUCCUUUUAUAGGUACGUUUAAUGUUUUGGAAUGUCUGCAAAACAAGUUACUUAUGUUAUUGCAGCUAUAAAUAAUUACCUCUGACUGUCACAAAACACUGACACUGGAGACUCUUUCCAAAAAUGCUAAUUAAAGAUCUCCAAACAGAAAACACAUUUUAUAGUUUACAUGGAGAGUCUGCCUGGAUUGCACUGUUACUGUAGAAAAGUGAUUUAUUAUAUACAGUGCAUCCGGAAAGUAUUCACAGCGCUUCACUUUUCCCACAUUUUGUUAUGUUACAGCUUUAUUCCAGCAUGGAUUCAAUUCAUUAUUUUCCUCAAAAUUCUACAAACAAUACCCCAUAAUGACAAUGUGAAAGAAGUUUGUUUGAAAUCUUUGCAAAUUUAUUUAAAAAAAAAAAAAAAAAAAAAAAAAGCACAUGGACAUAAGUAUUCACAGCCUUUGCUCAGUACUUUGUUGAAGCACCUUUGGCACCGAUUUCAGUCUCCAGACUUUUUGAGUAUGAUGCUACAAGCUUGGCACACCUAUUUUUUGGCAGUUUCUCACAUUCUUCUUUGCAGGACCUCUCAAGCUCCAUCAGGUUGGAUGGGGAGUGUCGGUGCACAGCCAUUUUCUGAUCUCUCCAGAGAUGUUCAAUCAGGUUCAAGUCUGGGCUCUGGCUGGGCCACUCAAGGACAUUCACAGAGUUGUCCUGUAGCCACUCCUUUGUUAUCUAGGCUGUGUGCUUAGGGUCGUUGUCCUGAUGGAAGAUGAACGUUCACCCUAGUCUGAGGUCCAGAGUGCUCUGGAGCAGGUUUUCAUCAAGGAUGUCUCUGUACAUUGCUGCAUUCAUCUUUCCCUCGAGCCUGACUAGUCUCCCAGUUCCUGCUGCUGAAAAACAUCCCCACAGCAUGAUGCUGCCACCACCAUGCUUCACUGUAGGGAUGGUAUUGGCCAGGUGAUGACUGGUACCUGGUUUCCUCCAGACAUGACGCUUGCCAUUCAGCAAAACAGUUCAAUCUUUGUUCAAUCUCUGGUCUGAGAGUCCUUCAGGUGCCUUUUGGCAAACUCCAGGUGGGCUGUCAUGUGCCUUUUACUGAGGAGUGGCUUCCGUCUGGCCACUCUACCAUACAGGCCUGAUUGGUGGAGUGCUGCAGAGAUGGUUGUUCUUCUGGAAGGUUCUCCUCUCUCCACAGAGACACGCUGGAGCUCUGUCAGAGUGACCAAUGGGUUUUUGGUCACCUCCCUGACUAAGGCCCUUCUCCCGCGAUCGCUGUUUGGCCGGGCGGCCAGCUCUAGGAAGAGUCCUGCUGGUUCCAGACUUCUUCCAUUUACAGAUGAUGGACUCCACUGUGCUCAUUGGGACCUUCAAUGCUACAGAAAUUUUUCUGUACCCUUCCCCAGAUCUGUGCCUCGAUACAAUCCUAUCUCGGAGGCCUACAGACAAUUCCAAAGCACUGUGAAUACUUUCUACCAUAACGCUUAUCCUACACAGGGUCACGGGGGAACCUGAGGUCUCUACCAGAGGACUUGGGGUACGGGGCAGGGGACACCCUGGAUAGGGUGCCAACCUAUAACAGGGCACAAUCGCACACACACACACACACGGACAAUUGUGAAAUGCCAAUCAGCCAACAGCAAUGAAGGUGCAAGGCAAACAUGCUAAGCACUAAGCUA
Long non-coding RNA from Ictalurus punctatus (channel catfish), 4029 nucleotides. The record is from Ensembl. Lineage: Eukaryota; Metazoa; Chordata; Actinopteri; Siluriformes; Ictaluridae.